Molecule: ribosomal RNA, 433 nt
Filed under: uncultured bacterium
Lineage: Bacteria
Description: partial 16S ribosomal RNA
Rfam family: Bacterial small subunit ribosomal RNA
Source: RNAcentral
AACGAACGCUGGCGGCAUGCCUAACACAUGCAAGUCGAACGAGACCUUCGGGUCUAGUGGCGCACGGGUGCGUAACGCGUGGGAACCUGCCCUUAGGCUCGGAAUAACUCCCCGAAAGGGGUGCUAAUACCGGAUAAUGUCUUCGGACCAAAGAUUUAUCGCCUUUGGAUGGGCCCGCGUUGGAUUAGCUAGUUGGUAGGGUAAAAGCCUACCAAGGCGACGAUCCAUAGCUGGUCUGAGAGGAGGGUCAGCGACACUGGGACUGAGACACGGCCCAGACUCCUACGGGAGGCAGCAGUGGGGAAUAUUGGACAAUAGGCGAAAGCCUGAUCCAGCAAUGCCGCGUGAGUGAUGAAGGCCUUAGGGUUGUAAAGCUCUUUUACCCGGGAUGAUAAUGACAGUACCGGGAGAAUAAGCGCCGGCUAACUCCGUG